Molecule: ribosomal RNA, 526 nt
Filed under: uncultured prokaryote
Description: bacterial SSU rRNA
Rfam family: Bacterial small subunit ribosomal RNA
Source: RNAcentral
UAGCCAUACCGAACGAUGCCACGAUAUUGAGGACGGCCUUCGGAUUGUAAAGCUCUGUCGUAAGGGAACAACAUUCAGGAUAGGAAAUGAUCUUGAACUGACGGUACCUUACCAGAAAGCCACGGCUAACUACGUGCCAGCAGCCGCGGUAAUACGUAGGUGGCAAGCGUUAUCCGGAAUUAUUGGGCGUAAAGGGUGCGUAGGCGGUUUAUUAAGUCUAUGGUGAAAGUGCGGGGCUCAACCCCGUAUGGCCAUAGAAACUGGUAGACUUGAGUGCAGGAGAGGGCAAUGGAAUUCCAUGUGUAGCGGUAAAAUGCGUAGAUAUAUGGAGGAACACCAGUGGCGAAGGCGGUUGCCUGGCCUGUAACUGACGCUGAAGCACGAAAGCGUGGGGAGCAAAUAGGAUUAGAUACCCUAGUAGUCCACGCCGUAAACGAUGAAUACUAAGUGUUGGAGAAAUUCAGUGCUGCAGUUAACGCAAUAAGUAUUCCGCCUGGGGAGUAUGCACGCAAGUGUGAAACUCAAA